UCAAUUGGAAUGUCCAUGAUGGGUCUCAGUGGUGGUUCGUCAACCAUUUUGGGUGGACGGAUUGGUUUCGUAACGCCCAUUGGAGAUUACAAGUCUAUGACCUUCCGAGGAAUCACAGUCCUCGCCCUUCUGGAACUGGGAACAAUUGGAACUGCAUACCCCUGGUCAUGUGACAUAGGAUUCGAACCUGGGUUAUCGCUAUCAUUAUAUGAUUCAUGUGGCAAAGUAUUCAAAUCUGGGUUGUCAUGAUCAUUUGUGAUUAAUCAGACAGCACAUCCAGCCAACUAACUCUUGGUUUACCAAUAUACUGCUUCAAGUGAUCAACAUGGCAGACUUUAAUGGCACCGUCCUGACUCAAUUGAAUUUUGGGCACCAGGUGGCGGACCAACCAUUACAUCAAUGGGCAGAUCUAUUUCUCGACCUAAUAUGACCUUGUUCGGAGUGCAACCAGUACUGCUAUUCUGUGUAGCACGAUAGGCAGCCGUAACAUAUGGGAGAUGAUCAUCCCAGUCUUCCUGAUUUUCAUUAACAAACAUCUUCAACAAUGAAAUCACCGUACGGUUACACCGUUCAAUCAUGCCAUCUGACUUCGGAUUAUAAGCACACGUUCGA
Molecule: long non-coding RNA, 612 nt
Organism: Mya arenaria
Lineage: Eukaryota; Metazoa; Mollusca; Bivalvia; Myida; Myidae
Exons: 3
Source: RefSeq, a predicted model, not a curated record